UACAGAGGGUGCGAGCGUUGUUCGGAAUUACUGGGCGUAAAGGGCGCGUAGGCGGCCUGUUAAGUCGAACGUGAAAUCCCCGGGCUCAACCCGGGAACUGCGUCCGAUACUGGCAGGCUUGAAUCCGGGAGAGGGAUGCGGAAUUCCAGGUGUAGCGGUGAAAUGCGUAGAUAUCUGGAGGAACACCGGUGGCGAAGGCGGCAUCCUGGACCGGCAUUGACGCUGAGGCGCGAAAGCCAGGGGAGCAAACGGG
This 253-nucleotide ribosomal RNA is filed under the name uncultured bacterium. RNAcentral describes it as "partial 16S ribosomal RNA". It matches the Rfam family "Bacterial small subunit ribosomal RNA", at positions 524 to 776 of the family's 1533-position model. The record is from RNAcentral.